This 513-nucleotide ribosomal RNA is filed under the name uncultured bacterium. Its description in RNAcentral is "partial 16S ribosomal RNA". It matches the Rfam family "Bacterial small subunit ribosomal RNA", at positions 28 to 523 of the family's 1533-position model. The record is from RNAcentral.
GAUGAACGCUGGCGGCGUGCCUAAUACAUGCAAGUCGAACGCACAGCGAAAGGUGCUUGCACCUUUCAAGUGAGUAGCGAACGGGUGAGUAACACGUAGACAACCUGCCUCAAGGCUGGGGAUAACAUUUGGAAACAGAUGCUAAUACCGAAUAAAACUCAGUGUCGCAUGACACAAAGUUAAAAGGCGCUUUGGCGUCACCUAGAGAUGGAUCCGCGGUGCAUUAGUUAGUUGGUGGGGUAAAGGCCUACCAAGAAAAUGAUGCAUAGCCGAGUUGAGAGACUGAUCGGCCACAUUGGGACUGAGACACGGCCCAAACUCCUACGGGAGGCUGCAGUAGGGAAUCUUCCACAAUGGGCGAAAGCCUGAUGGAGCAACGCCGCGUGUGUGAUGAAGGCUUUCGGGUCGUAAAGCACUGUUGUAUGGGAAGAACAGCUAGAAUAGGGAAUGAUUUUAGUUUGACGGUACCAUACCAGAAAGGGACGGCUAAAUACGUGCCAGCAGCCGCCGUAA